GAUGAACGCUGGCGGCGUGCUUAACACAUGCCAGUCGAACGAAGCAUUUAGAACAGAUUACUUCGGUUUGAAGUUCUUUAUGACUGAGUGGCGGACGGGUGAGUAACGCGUGGGUAACCUGCCUUGUACUGGGGGAUAGCAGCUGGAAACGGCUGGUAAUACCGCAUAAGCGCACAAUGUUGCAUGACAUGGUGUGAAAAACUCCGGUGGUAUAAGAUGGACCCGCGUCUGAUUAGCUAGUUGGUGAGAUAACAGCCCACCAAGGCGACGAUCAGUAGCCGACCUGAGAGGGUGACCGGCCACAUUGGGACUGAGACACGGCCCAGACUCCUACGGGAGGCAGCAGUGGGGAAUAUUGCACAAUGGAGGAAACUCUGAUGCAGCGACGCCGCGUGAGUGAAGAGGUAAUUCGUUAUGUAAAGCUCUAUCAGCAGGGAAGAUAGUGACGGUACCUGACUAAGAAGCUCCGGCUAAAUACGUG
RNAcentral lists this ribosomal RNA (481 nucleotides) under uncultured bacterium. RNAcentral describes it as "partial 16S ribosomal RNA". It matches the Rfam family "Bacterial small subunit ribosomal RNA", at positions 28 to 507 of the family's 1533-position model. The record is from RNAcentral.